This 238-nucleotide ribosomal RNA is filed under the name uncultured bacterium. RNAcentral describes it as "partial 16S ribosomal RNA". It matches the Rfam family "Bacterial small subunit ribosomal RNA", at positions 96 to 334 of the family's 1533-position model. The record is from RNAcentral.
CGGCGGACGGGUGAGUAACGCGUGGGUAACCUGCCUCAUACAGGGGGAUAACAGUUAGAAAUGACUGCUAAUACCGCAUAAGACCACGGUACCGUAUGGUACAGUGGUAAAAACUCCGGUGGUAUGAGAUGGACCCGCGUCUGAUUAGGUAGUUGGUGGGGUAACGGCCUACCAAGCCGACGAUCAGUAGCCGACCUGAGAGGGUGACCGGCCACAUUGGGACUGAGACACGGCCCAG